UACGGAAGGCAGCAGUAGGGAAUCUUCCGCAAUGGACGAAAGUCUGACGGAGCAACGCCGCGUGAACGAUGAAGGCUUUCGGGUCGUAAAGUUCUGUUGUUAGGGAGAACAAGUACCGGAGUAACUGCCGGUACCUUGACGGUACCUAACCAGAAAGCCACGGCUAACUACGUGCCAGCAGCCGCGGUAAUACGUAGGUGGCAAGCGUUGUCCGGAAUUAUUGGGCGUAAAGCGCGCGCAGGCGGUCCUUUAAGUCUGAUGUGAAAGCCCACGGCUCAACCGUGGAGGGUCAUUGGAAACUGGGGGACUUGAGUGCAGAAGAGGAGAGUGGAAUUCCACGUGUAGCGGUGAAAUGCGUAGAGAUGUGGAGGAACACCAGUGGCGAAGGCGACUCUCUGGUCUGUAACUGACGCUGAGGCGCGAAAGCGUGGGGAGCGAACAGGGAUUAGAUAC
This 453-nucleotide ribosomal RNA is filed under the name uncultured bacterium. RNAcentral's name for it is "bacterial SSU rRNA". It matches the Rfam family "Bacterial small subunit ribosomal RNA", at positions 340 to 785 of the family's 1533-position model. The record is from RNAcentral.